Molecule: transfer RNA, 72 nt
Filed under: Camelus bactrianus (Bactrian camel)
Lineage: Eukaryota; Metazoa; Chordata; Mammalia; Artiodactyla; Camelidae
Also listed under: 1 other name
Rfam family: tRNA
About the family: Transfer RNA (tRNA) molecules are approximately 80 nucleotides in length. Their secondary structure includes four short double-helical elements and three loops (D, anti-codon, and T loops). Further hydrogen bonds mediate the characteristic L-shaped molecular structure. tRNAs have two regions of fundamental functional importance: the anti-codon, which is responsible for specific mRNA codon recognition, and the 3' end, to which the tRNAs corresponding amino acid is attached (by aminoacyl-tRNA synthetases). tRNAs cope with the degeneracy of the genetic code in two manners: having more than one tRNA (with a specific anti-codon) for a particular amino acid; and 'wobble' base-pairing, i.e. permitting non-standard base-pairing at the 3rd anti-codon position.
Source: Rfam by way of RNAcentral
GAGGGUAUAGCUCAGUGGUACAGUGCAUGCCUAGCAUGCACGAGGUCCCGGGUUCAAUCCCCGGUACCUCCA